UACGAAGGGGGCUAGCGUUGUUCGGAAUCACUGGGCGUAAAGAGUACGUAGGCGGAUUAUUAAGUCAGGGGUGAAAUCCCGAGGCUCAACCUCGGAACUGCCUUUGAUACUGGUAGUCUUGAGUCCGGGAGAGGUGAGUGGAACUCCUAGUGUAGAGGUGAAAUUCGUAGAUAUUAGGAAGAACACCAGUGGCGAAGGCGGCUCACUGGCCCGGAACUGACGCUGAGGUACGAAAGCGUGGGGAGCAAACAGG
RNAcentral lists this ribosomal RNA (253 nucleotides) under uncultured bacterium. Its description in RNAcentral is "partial 16S ribosomal RNA". It matches the Rfam family "Bacterial small subunit ribosomal RNA", at positions 524 to 776 of the family's 1533-position model. The record is from RNAcentral.